This 468-nucleotide ribosomal RNA is filed under the name uncultured bacterium. Its description in RNAcentral is "partial 16S ribosomal RNA". It matches the Rfam family "Bacterial small subunit ribosomal RNA", at positions 28 to 507 of the family's 1533-position model. The record is from RNAcentral.
GACGAACGCUGGCGGCGUGCUUAACACAUGCAAGUCGAACGGAAAGGCCCUGCUUUCGUGGGGUGCCCGAGUGCCGAACGGGUGAGUAACACGUGAGUAACCUGCUCUUCACUUUGGGAUAACUUCAGGAAACUGGGGCUAAUACCGGAUAGGAUCUCCUGCUGCAUGGUGGGGGGUGGAAAGUUUCGGCGGGUGGGGAUGGACUCGCGGCUGAUCAGCUUGUUGGUGGGGUAGUGGCUUACCAAGGCUUUGAAGGGUAGCCGGCCUGAGAGGGUGACCGGCCACAUGGGGACUGAGAGACGGCCCAGACUCCUACAGGAGGCAGCAGUGGGGAAUAUUGCACAAUGGGCGGAAGCCUGAUGCAGAAACGCCGCGUGCGGGAUGACGGCCUUCGGGUUGUAAACCGCUUUAGCUUGUGACGAAGCGUGAGUGACGGUAAUGGGUAAAGAAGCACCGGCUAACUACGUG